CCCUUCCAGAUGACCUACGUUCCCAGUGGGAAUUCUGGCUCCAAGGUCUACAAAACUUGUCUGAAGUAAGGAUCCAACGAAGCUACUUGCCAUCAAGUUUCAAGGAGGUGCAGAGUUAUGAGCUCCAUCACUUCUCCGACGCUAGUACCUCAGGUUAUGGAGAGUGCUCAUACCUCAGAACAAUCAGCACCGCAGGAGAAGUUCAUUGCUCCCUAGUUAUGGCAAAGUCGAGAGUCGCCCCUUCCAAGGUUACGACCAUACCACGACUGGAACUUUCAGCAGCGGUGGUAGCUGUUCGAACAAGUGACAUGCUCAAAAAGGAGUUAGAGAUACAAGGUCUACAGGAAUACUUCUGGACAGAGUCGAAGGUAGUUCUUGGCUACAUCAACAAUGAAGCCAGAAGAUUCCACGUCUUUGUAGCUAACCGUAUUCAACGCAUUAAACCUCCAACACAGACAGAAAUGGAGUAAAGACUGAAGAAACGCAAGGAUUAAUGACAUUGUCAUUUUGCAAGAUGAUACUGCACCACGCAACCAGUGGAAAUUGGCAAAGGUUACAGAAGUGUACCCGGGACAGGAUGGCCGGGUGAGAAGAUUCAAGUUACUGAUCAGCGACUCAACCGAAGAUGAGAGAGGUAAACGCAUCACCAAACCCACCUGUCUGGAGAGGCCCAUCCAUAAGACAGUCACCCUCCUGGAAGCCGAUCAAGAAACCUGCAGACCCCUUUCACAGAAAUCACUGGUGAUUGGUGGGAGUGUAACUGACAGUUAGACUUACAGGUUAUGUCGUUGUCUUUUGUUUGAAUUGUUUAUGUGUCCGCUGUGCGGGGGAAAUGAUAAUACAAGCGGAACUACGUAGCUAAUACUGUUGUAACGGGGAUCCUUAUUGUAGCAACACACCUUUGGAGGGAAGGCAAUCCUGCGCUGCGUUAGCUAAGUUUUCAUGUCAUCGGGUGUAGUUCAUAAUGGUUGAAGAGUGUAUGUUAGGAUGAAGUGUGAAUUCAUGCCAGGAAUAAUAAGUGUGAAGUUUAAUUUCCUCCCUUCUGUAAUAAGCAGCCAAUGAGUUCUCACGGAAGGUGAUAAUUCUGACUAAAACUACAGAAUAAAGCCGCCAGUUAAAAUCAA
Molecule: long non-coding RNA, 1124 nt
Organism: Oncorhynchus keta (chum salmon)
Lineage: Eukaryota; Metazoa; Chordata; Actinopteri; Salmoniformes; Salmonidae
Exons: 2
Source: RefSeq, a predicted model, not a curated record